This 296-nucleotide non-coding RNA is filed under the name Bacillus sp. (in: firmicutes). RNAcentral describes it as "Bacillus sp. T-box sequence". It matches the Rfam family "T-box leader". From Rfam's summary of the family: Uncharged tRNA acts as the effector for transcription antitermination of genes in the T-box leader family. T-boxes are found upstream of many aminoacyl-tRNA synthetase genes and some amino acid biosynthetic genes usually in Gram-positive bacteria. The record is from RNAcentral. Lineage: Bacteria; Bacillati; Bacillota; Bacilli; Caryophanales; Bacillaceae.
UUUUUUGCGAUGAUGAAGAAGAGUAGAUUAUAUGAAAGUUUCAGAGAGCUGACGGUUGGUGCAAGUCAGUACGGACAUAUUUUUGAAUGGGCUUCUGAGCACCCAAACCGAACCAUUUAUUUAUGCAGUAGGCUUUGGCGGACGUCUCACCGAUAAAAGAGACAGGUAUUCAAACUAGUGUUUCGAUACUGCUUUUUGUCACAAGGUAGUUCAAUUCAUUUGUUUUGAUACUGCAAAGUGAGUCUAAACGGUUUUAGGCUAAUUAAGGUGGCACCACGGGAGUCCUCGUCCUUUUU